RNAcentral lists this ribosomal RNA (1525 nucleotides) under marine metagenome. RNAcentral's name for it is "bacterial LSU rRNA". It matches the Rfam family "Archaeal large subunit ribosomal RNA", at positions 1138 to 2678 of the family's 2987-position model. The record is from RNAcentral.
AGCUAAGUGUUAAAGAACAAAUAGUGUUUAACAGCAUAGACAGCUGGAAGGUUGGCUUAGAGGCAGCCAUCCUUUAAAGAGUUCGUAACAGAUCACCAGUCAAGUUCUUGAGCCUAGAAAAUGGACGGGACUAAGUUGUUCACCGAUACUUUGGGCCACCGAAAGGUGAUGCGGUAGAGAGGCGUCGUGCGCGGGUGGAAGUGGGGCCGUGAGGUCCUGUGGACCGCGUUCGAAUGAUAAUCAUGGAAAUAGUAGUAGCGUAGAUGGGUGAGAAUCCCAUCCGCCGGAGGGGCUAGGGUUCCUCGACGAUGUUCAUCAGUCGAGGGUUAGUCGGUCCUAAGGUUCCCCCUAACAGGAGGAAUCGAAAGGGAAGCAGGUUAAAAUUCCUGCACCAAUUCAUAUUUUGUCCAGUUCCUGACACAUCGGGUCUUGUGGAGCACUCCUGUCUGAGUGUUGCCUUAAGCAAUAAAAUUGUGGAGUACCGUAAUGGUGAGAAGCAAACUAAGCUUUUGGGAGGCGAAGUAUUUCGCUUCUGCGUUAGCCUGGUGUCCGUGAAAAGGGAGCUGGAGCCGUAUGAGUUGUCCGUACCGAGAUCUGACACAGGUGCCCCUAGGUGAGUAGCCUAAGGCGUCGCGGCAGAAUCCGGGCGAGGGAAUUCGGCAAAUUAGCCCCGUACCUUUGGUAUAAGGGGUGCCAGCUCUGAAGAGAGCUGGUCGCAGUGACUAGGGAGCUCCGACUGUUUAUUAAAAACACAGGUGGCUGCUAGUCCGUAAGGAUGUGUAUAGCCGCUGAAUCCUGCCCAGUGGCAGUAUCUGAAACCAGGUUUCAACCUGACGAAGGACUGCUAAACGGCGGGGGUAACUAUGACCCUCUUAAGGUAGCGUAAUACCUUGUCGCUUAAUUGGCGACUUGCACGAACGGCCUAACGAGAGCUCUACUGUCCCCGCCCGGAGCCCGAUGAAAUUGACUUACUGGCGCACAGUCCAGUACGUCCCAGCCGCAAGCGAAGACCCCGUGGAGCUUUACUGCAACCUGCCGUUGUGGCACGAGUUGUUAUGUGUAGCGUAGACGGGAGACAUUACACAGGUGCGAGCGCUAGCUCGUCGCCGAGUCACCGAUGAAACACCGUCCUUUUCGAUUCGUCCCACUCACCUCUUCGGAGGAACCCCGGUAGGCGGGCAGUUUGGGUGGGGCGCCACUCCCUCGAAAAAAUAACAAGGGAGCCCAAAGGUCAGCUUAGGUAGGUCAGGAAUCUACCGUUAAGUGCAAGGGCAAAAGCUGGCUUGACGUGGUUUGGCAACACAACAAACCACGAUGCGAAAGCAGGGCCUAGCGAACCAACCAGCGCCGUUAGUAGGUGCGGUUGAUAACAGAAAAGUUACCCCGGGGAUAACUGAGUUGUCUGGAGCAAGAGCCCACAUCGACCUCCAGGCUUGCUACUUCGAUGUCGUCUCUUCCUAUCCUGGGUGUGCAGAAGCACCCAAGGGUGGGGUUGUUCGCCCAUUAAAAGGGAUCGUGAGAUGGG